RNAcentral lists this long non-coding RNA (1137 nucleotides) under Oryctolagus cuniculus (rabbit). RNAcentral's name for it is "lncRNA (ENSOCUG00000032590.1)". Lineage: Eukaryota; Metazoa; Chordata; Mammalia; Lagomorpha; Leporidae. The record is from RNAcentral.
UUCAGGGUCUCCCACGUCAGUGUAGAGGCCCAAGCACUUGCGCCAUCCUCUGCUGCUUUCCCAGGCCAUAAUAGAGGGCUGGAUCAGAAGUGGAGCAGCUGGCACUGCAGGCGGCAACUUUACCUGCUAUGCCACAGCACUGGCCCCUGUUUUUAAUUUUUGAGAUAACAUUUUCAUUAUAAGAGCUUUGUAUUAACAGUUUACAUUAUAGUCAAAGGCUUAAUGCUCUACUUAAUAAAGAAUUCAGCAAGUAAAAUGUGAAAAACAUAGUUAAGCAGGAAUAUACACAAGUACUAUAAACAAAAAAAAAGCCAUCAGUUUCACUCAUAAGUAAAUUUUAGAAAUAAUUAAGAUCAUUAAAAUUAUAGUAGUAUAUCAUUCUUAACCAUUUGUGUUUGACAAAGAUAUAAAACAAUGUGACAAAACUAUUUGCAGAAAUAUUGAUCAUUUUCUUUUUAAAAAAAAGAAACAUAUUUAGGGGCCGUCGCAGUAGCAUAGUAGGUUAAUCCUCUGCCUGCAGGUAGUGUCGACAUCCCCUGUGAGCACCUGUUCAUUUCCUGGCUGCUCCUCUUCCUACUCAGCUCUCUGGUAUGACCUGGGAAAGCAGUGGAGGAUGGCCCAAGUGCUUGGGCACCUACACCCACAUGGAAUACCUAGAAGAAGCUCCUGGCUCCUGGCUUUGAAUCAGUCCAGCUCUGGCCUUUGCAGCCAUUUAGGGAGUGAACCAGCAUAUGGAAGACCUUUCUCUCUCUAACUCUACCCCUCAAAUAAACAAAUGAAAAUCUUAAAAAAAUAUUUAUUUGGAAGAGUUGCAAAGUGUGAGUUUAUUAUUUUCAGAAAACCUAGAAUACCAAGUUAUGGUGAAAGUGACUCAAAAUACUUGGCAAAUAAAUGCCAAGUUAAAUCUGUUAAAAAUUAAUCUAAUCCAUACUUAAUGUAUACUAAGCUGAUCUUCUGUAUAUUAAGAUAAUCGAAAAUGAAUCUUGAUGUGAAUGGAAGGGGAGAGGGAGUGGGAAAGGGGAGGGUUGUGGGUGGGAGGGACGGUAUUGGGGGGAAGCCAUUGUAAUCCAUAAGUCGUACUUUGGAAAUUUAUAUGCAUUAAAUAAAAGUUAAAAAAAAAAAAAAUUAAUCUAAAAU